GAUGAACGCUGGCGGCGUGCCUAAUACAUGCAAGUCGAGCGAACGGACGAGAAGCUUGCUUCUCUGAUGUUAGCGGCGGACGGGUGAGUAACACGUGGAUAACCUACCUAUAAGACUGGGAUAACUUCGGGAAACCGGAGCUAAUACCGGAUAAUAUUUUGAACCGCAUGGUUCAAAAGUGAAAGACGGUCUUGCUGUCACUUAUAGAUGGAUCCGCGCUGCAUUAGCUAGUUGGUAAGGUAACGGCUUACCAAGGCAACGAUGCAUAGCCGACCUGAGAGGGUGAUCGGCCACACUGGAACUGAGACACGGUCCAGACUCCUACGGGAGGCAGCAGUAGGGAAUCUUCCGCAAUGGGCGAAAGCCUGACGGAGCAACGCCGCGUGAGUGAUGAGGGUCUUCGGAUCGUAAAACUCUGUUAUUAGGGAAGAACAUAUGUGUAAGUAACUGUGCACAUCUUGACGGUACCUAAUCAGAAAGCCACGGCUAACUACGUGCCAGCAGCCGCGGUAAUACGUAGGUGGCAAGCGUUAUCCGGAAUUAUUGGGCGUAAAGCGCGCGUAGGCGGUUUUUUAAGUCUGAUGUGAAAGCCCACGGCUCAACCGUGGAGGGUCAUUGGAAACUGGAAAACUUGAGUGCAGAAGAGGAAAGUGGAAUUCCAUGUGUAGCGGUGAAAUGCGCAGAGAUAUGGAGGAACACCAGUGGCGAAGGCGACUUUCUGGUCUGUAACUGACGCUGAUGUGCGAAAGCGUGGGGAUCAAACAGGAUUAGAUACCCUGGUAGUCCACGCCGUAAACGAUGAGUGCUAAGUGUUAGGGGGUUUCCGCCCCUUAGUGCUGCAGCUAGCGCAUUAAGCACUCCGCCUGGGGAGUACGACCGCAAGGUUGAAACUCAAAGGAAUUGACGGGGACCCGCACAAGCGGUGGAGCAUGUGGUUUAAUUCGAAGCAACGCGAAGAACCUUACCAAAUCUUGACAUCCUUUGACAACUCUAGAGAUAGAGCUUUCCCCUUCGGGGGACAAAGUGACAGGUGGUGCAUGGUUGUCGUCAGCUCGUGUCGUGAGAUGUUGGGUUAAGUCCCGCAACGAGCGCAACCCUUAAGCUUAGUUGCCAUCAUUAAGUUGGGCACUCUAAGUUGACUGCCGGUGACAAACCGGAGGAAGGUGGGGAUGACGUCAAAUCAUCAUGCCCCUUAUGAUUUGGGCUACACACGUGCUACAAUGGACAAUACAAAGGGCAGCGAAACCGUGAGGUCAAGCAAAUCUCAUAAAGUUGUUCUCAGUUCGGAUUGUAGUCUGCAACUCGACUACAUGAAGCUGGAAUCGCUAGUAAUCGUAGAUCAGCAUGCUACGGUGAAUACGUUCCCGGGUCU
RNAcentral lists this ribosomal RNA (1372 nucleotides) under uncultured bacterium. RNAcentral describes it as "bacterial SSU rRNA". It matches the Rfam family "Bacterial small subunit ribosomal RNA", at positions 28 to 1381 of the family's 1533-position model. The record is from RNAcentral.